Molecule: long non-coding RNA, 511 nt
Filed under: Parus major (Great Tit)
Lineage: Eukaryota; Metazoa; Chordata; Aves; Passeriformes; Paridae
Description: lncRNA (ENSPMJG00000002246.1)
Source: RNAcentral
CGUCCGCCUUGUUCAGGUAAACCACGACGUGCUGGACACCCACCUGUGCAGGUGAGACAGGUGAGUCACACCUGAACCUGAACCUGAACCUGAACCUGGACCUGAACCUGGGUCCGGCACCGCAUUCACCUUGUUCAGGUAAACAACAACGUGCUGGACACCCACCUGUGCAGGUGAGACAGGUGAGGGGUCACACCUGAACCUGAACCUGAACCUACACCUGAACCUGAACCUGGGUCUGAACCUGAACCUGAACCUGAACCUACACCUGAACCUGGGUCUGACACCGCAUUCACCUUGUUCAGGUAAACCACGACGUGCUGGACACCCACCUGUGCAGGUGAGACAGGUGAGUCACACCUGAACCUACACCUGAACCUGGACCUGAACCUGGACCUGAACCUGAACCUGGAUCUGAACCUACACCUGGACCCAACCCCCAACAGCUCCGGGUCCGGCACCGCGUCCGCCUUGUUCAGGUAAACAACGACGUGCUGGACACACCUGGACA